Molecule: ribosomal RNA, 497 nt
Filed under: uncultured bacterium
Lineage: Bacteria
Description: partial 16S ribosomal RNA
Rfam family: Bacterial small subunit ribosomal RNA
Source: RNAcentral
GAUGAACGCUGGCGGCGUGCUUAAUACAUGCAAGUCGAGCGAACGGACGAGAAGCUUGCUUCUCUGAUGUUAGCGGCGGACGGGUGAGUAACACGUGGAUAACCUACCUAUAAGACUGGGAUAACUUCGGGAAACCGUAGCUAAUACCGGAUAAUAUUUUGAACCGCAUGGUUCAAAAGUGAAAGACGGUCUUGCUGUCACUUAUAGAUGGAUCCGCGCUGCAUUAGCUAGUUGGUAAGGUAACGGCUUACCAAGGCAACGAUGCAUAGCCGACCUGAGAGGGUGAUCGGCCACACUGGAACUGAGACACGGUCCAGACUCCUACGGGAGGCAGCAGUAGGGAAUCUUCCGCAAUGGGCGAAAGCCUGACGGAGCAACGCCGCGUGAGUGAUGAAGGUCUUCGGAUCGUAAAACUCUGUUAUUAGGGAAGAACAUAUGUGUAAGUAACUGUGCACAUCUUGACGUUACCUAAUCAGAAAGCCACGGCUAACUACGUG